Musca domestica (house fly) is the source of this 773-nucleotide long non-coding RNA. RefSeq lists it as uncharacterized. The record is from RefSeq and is a predicted model, not a curated record. The transcript is spliced from 2 exons. NCBI's taxonomy places the organism in Eukaryota, Metazoa, Arthropoda, Insecta, Diptera, Muscidae.
UUUAGUUGGAGUGGAGAAUUAAACAGUUUUAUUUGUGUUGUGUGUGCGGCGUUCAACGGUCGGUUCGCGUACGGAAAAAUGUCCAUGCUAAUCUCCAAGUCAAAAGUCCCAACUCAGCAAUAACUUUGCAAAUAACACUGCAGUGUAGCCAGACAAAAAUCUAAAGAAUACAACAAAAUAAAAUUAAAAGCAAAUAUUCCAAUUAGAUUUUUCUAAUCAAAUAAGAGAAAUUGGGCAACGUGAAGCUACUAAUAAAGCCGCUGAAAAAAACGAUUGGUAAAACGCUAUCAAAAAGUGAAAGAAUAACAACAAAAAAUGUUUGCUUUUGGAUUUAACAAAAGAAACAAAAAAGAAAAUUUUUGCAUGAGAUAGAGAAAUGAGAGCAAAGAAUCAAAGAAACCUUUUCCAUUUGCACAGUGUGUUUUGUUUUUCCUCCCAAAAAGUGUUUAUCUCUCAAUGAGUUCUCGUGUGUUGUUUUGUGCCAAAAACAGAGAGAGCAAGAGCGCCAAUUAUAUGUGUACAAGAGUGUGUGUGCGAGUGUUGCAAAUGAAGUUUUAACAUCGUCGUUUGUGUUUGACUAAACUUGGCCGUCAUUUCAGUGUUCUCGUGGAUGAUAGACGGAUGUUUUGUAUUUAAGUUGCUCGUUGCAAAUUAAUUUUGAAAAUUGUGUUGCCAAACAAAUUAUUAAAUGAUUGUGAAAAAAUUCUAGAAAAUUAAAACUGAUUUAUGUGAUUUAUUUAGUGUCAAAUUAAACCAUUUAUGUGAAAAAAAAA